UUUAAAGUUUUCUAGGGUUCCGUUAGUUUACCGAACAGUCUACUAAGCAGGUCCAAGAGAAAACGGCUAAGAAAUACUUAGCUACCACGGCGGGAUAAAAGCCCGGGAGCA
RNAcentral lists this small RNA (111 nucleotides) under Eggerthella sp. RNAcentral describes it as "Guanidine-I sequence". It matches the Rfam family "Guanidine-I riboswitch aptamer". From Rfam's summary of the family: This family represents a conserved RNA structure found upstream of the ykkC and yxkD genes in Bacillus subtilis and related genes in other bacteria. The function of this family is unclear although it has been suggested that it may function to switch on efflux pumps and detoxification systems in response to harmful environmental molecules. The record is from RNAcentral. Lineage: Bacteria; Bacillati; Actinomycetota; Coriobacteriia; Eggerthellales; Eggerthellaceae.